UGGGAAUUUUGGACAAUGGGCGAAAGCCUGAUCCAGCAAUGCCGCGUGUGUGAAGAAGGCCUUCGGGUUGUAAAGCACUUUUGUCCGGAAAGAAAUCCUUGGCUCUAAUACAGUCGGGGGAUGACGGUACCGGAAGAAUAAGCACCGGCUAACUACGUGCCAGCAGCCGCGGUAAUACGUAGGGUGCAAGCGUUAAUCGGAAUUACUGGGCGUAAAGCGUGCGCAGGCGGUUUGCUAAGACCGAUGUGAAAUCCCCGGGCUCAACCUGGGAACUGCAUUGGUGACUGGCAGGCUAGAGUAUGGCAGAGGGGGGUAGAAUUCCACGUGUAGCAGUGAAAUGCGUAGAGAUGUGGAGGAAUACCGAUGGCGAAGGCAGCCCCCUGGGCCAAUACUGACGCUCAUGCACGAAAGCGUGGGGAGCAAACAGGAUUAGAUACCCUGGUAGUCCACGCCCUAAACGAUGUCAACUAGUUGUUGGGGAUUCAUUUCCUUAGUAACGUAGCUAACGCGUGAAGUUGACCGCCUGGGGAGUACGGUCGCAAGAUUAAAACUCAAAGGAAUUGACGGGGUCAUAGCUGUUUCCU
Molecule: ribosomal RNA, 584 nt
Filed under: uncultured bacterium
Lineage: Bacteria
Description: partial 16S ribosomal RNA
Rfam family: Bacterial small subunit ribosomal RNA
Source: RNAcentral